AGCUGAGAAGGCUGUGUCCACCUUAAGUGAUGAGAGGAACUGGAGAACUGGGAUGAGAGUGAUACUUCUGGCUAAACGGAGUGUAAUGGGAUCAGGAAAGCAUAUCCAAUCUUCAAGGGAAAAUCAUGGAACAGUUUCCAAAAAGAACGAGGGCCAGUCUUCAAAAGAAGUACAAAAGUUAGUAUCAGAAAAAAAAGGCUGGUGCUGACUCAGGAGAGGUUGCUUUGGAUAAGGAAAACGUGAACUAUGACGUUAGCCAGGAGGAAGUGCGCCAACACCAAAAGACAAAUGCUAACAGUGGUCAGAAAGGCCGAUACAGAAGCCAAGGAAAAGGUCUGAGCGGACAAGGGAAUGUCUCGUCUCCUACUAUUUCUGGUUCGGUCUCUGUAAACAAGCCUAUUUCUGGACCGAGAAUGCCAGAUGGAACAAGGGGCUUUGUAAUAGGGCGUGGUAGACCACUUCCACCUCCAAAAGCCGAAAAGGCUGAAGAAUAGAACUUUUUACAAUGAAGCCUGGUAAAGAUCUGUGUAUGAAAAUGACUUGUAUACUGGAAAGGCCCUCUAUUUUUUUAUGCAGCGUCUUUUCUGAAUUCACUGGCACAUCAGUUGGGGAUUUCAUGAUUGGUUGGUUGGUCUUUUACCGCUGCAUAUGUAUAUUUGUGACGCAGUGACACCUUGUCUGAUGAUUGCCAAAGUUUUGUGCUGA
Lolium rigidum is the source of this 705-nucleotide long non-coding RNA. RefSeq lists it as uncharacterized. The transcript is spliced from 4 exons. The record is from RefSeq and is a predicted model, not a curated record. Lineage: Eukaryota; Viridiplantae; Streptophyta; Magnoliopsida; Poales; Poaceae.